CUCGUAGGCGGCCAACUAAGUCAGACGUGAAAUCCCUCGGCUUAACCGGGGAACUGCAUCUGAUACUGGAUGGCUUGAGGUUGGGAGAGGGAUGCGGAAUUCCAGGUGUAGCGGUGAAAUGCGUAGAUAUCUGGAGGAACACCGGUGGCGAAGGCGGCAUCCUGGACCAAUUCUGACGCUGAGUGAGCGAAAGCCAGGGGAGCAAACGGGAUUAGAUACCCCGGUAGUCCUGGCCCUAAACGAUGAAUGCUUGGUGUGGCGGGUAUCGAUCCCCUGCCGUGCCGAAGCUAACGCAUUAAGCAUUCCGCCUGGGGAGUACGGUCGCAAGGCUGAA
This 334-nucleotide ribosomal RNA is filed under the name uncultured bacterium. Its description in RNAcentral is "bacterial SSU rRNA". It matches the Rfam family "Bacterial small subunit ribosomal RNA", at positions 568 to 898 of the family's 1533-position model. The record is from RNAcentral.